Small nuclear RNA from Nannospalax galili (Upper Galilee mountains blind mole rat), 93 nucleotides. The record is from Ensembl. Lineage: Eukaryota; Metazoa; Chordata; Mammalia; Rodentia; Spalacidae.
GUCUUUUCUUCAGCACAUAUACUAAACUUGGAAUGAUACAGAGAAGAUUAGCAUGGCCCCCGUGCCCAAAACAUCUUUUGAAAAAUGAUUUUU